Long non-coding RNA from Ipomoea triloba (trilobed morning glory), 749 nucleotides. RefSeq lists it as uncharacterized. The record is from RefSeq and is a predicted model, not a curated record. The transcript is spliced from 2 exons. NCBI's taxonomy places the organism in Eukaryota, Viridiplantae, Streptophyta, Magnoliopsida, Solanales, Convolvulaceae.
CUCUCCUCCUCUUACUCUCCCUACCUAGUUCCUAUACAUAGCCUUCUCUCUCUCUCUCUCUCUAGACUUCCAGAUCUGUGAAGGCGGAUACGCUGUCAUGUGUGUUGCGGCGGUCUCUAAUUCGCUUGGUGCAGGUCGGGAACUGCCGCCGCCGGCUGAGCGGAGACGGUUGCGUCGUCGUCUCCGGCGAAUUUAGCUCCCGCCUUGCAUCAACUGAAUCGGAGCCCGCGGUGAAUUGUUUGUUGUCUCUGGCCUUUUUUCGAAUCCUGUACGCGCGGCGCGAGUCAACUACGUAUUGGACUCGUCUUAUCUCUUAGAUGCAGGUGGCUUUUCAGAGAUCCCUGUGUGAAGAUGCAAAAUGUGGCAAGAACUUAAAAUCGAUAGUAUCGACUCCAUCCAUCUCUUGUAGCCCAAAGAGUCAAUACCCCACCACCGGGGUUCAAUCCUGUGACCUUCUCUCAAGAAGAACCACAGAGGUACCAACUGAGUACAUGGUGCAAUCUGGUUGAUGAGAAGCUUAUUAUUCUCUGACAUGAACAAGUUCUGCAUUUUGAAAUUUUGUCAAAAGCCUUGCUUUCAUGGCAGUCCCUCAGCUGUUGUAAUUGACAUAUCCAUAUUCUGUACAGAUCUUAGUUCUUAGUUCUUACGUUAUGCAACUUGUACAGGAUUCAACACUUGUGACUAAUCUUAUUAGACUCAAUGAUUACUUCAUUAAUAUAAUAUAAUGCACAACUUUUUCAAUUCCCUCA